Long non-coding RNA from Zeugodacus cucurbitae (melon fly), 6152 nucleotides. RefSeq lists it as uncharacterized. The transcript is spliced from 3 exons. Lineage: Eukaryota; Metazoa; Arthropoda; Insecta; Diptera; Tephritidae. The record is from RefSeq and is a predicted model, not a curated record.
GCUGUAAAUAAAGAAUUUGCAUUAGUCACUACUUCCUGCUAUUUUUUGUAAUAUUCAUCAGUAUAAACAUAAAUAUUUACAAUAUUUUAUGAAUGCUUGCGAAUUGUUUAAAGUGGUGAUUAGUGUGCUGCUGGUACAUAUCGGAAAUGCUUUUACACACAUGUAUCUAAGCAAACAAAUUAUAUCAAAAAAUAUUUAGGUUAUUUUUAUACUCUCGCAACGUGUUGUACCGAGUAUAAUAAUAGCAGUUUCGUUCACCUAAGUAACACCUAAAGCUAAAGAACUUAGAUAUCUGUAGAUGGUAAAACGAGGACAAGACGAAAAAUCUCCUGUCAUCAAACAAACAGUCAGCGCAUUCGCGUCUGGGCUCCCACGUCACUGUUGACAGUCAUAACUUUGAAGUUGUAGAUAAUUUCGUAUACCUGGGCACCAGCAUCAACACCGAUAAUAAUGUCAGGCUUGAAAUCCAACGCAGAAUCACUCUUGCCAACAGGUGCUACUAUGGACUGAGUAGGCAAUUGAAAAGUAAAGUCAACUCGCGACGAACAAAAACCAAACUCUACAAGUCCCUCAUCAUUUCCGUUCUCCUUUAUGGUGCAGAAGCGUGGACGAUGACAACAUCCGAUGAGACUACUCUUGGGGUUUUCGAGAGAAAGGUUUUGCGUGAGAUUUAUGGUCCUCUGAACAUUGGCAACGACGAAUACCGCAGACGAGGUGGAGAAGGACCUGUCUUCACUUGGUAUUACCAAUUGGCGCCAAACUGCCAAAAGGAGAGAUGCGUGGCGCACUGUUGUAGACUCGGCUAUAACCGCGUAAGCGGUGUCUACGCCGGUCAAGAAGAAGAGAAGAUGGUAAAAUUGUACUCUUGUCACUAAGUCCCGCCCCUAAUAGGUGUCUUGCAUAUGUAUACUUCGUAAACUACAAAAGAUAUAUCAAUCAAACUUACUAGAGCCAUCGAAUAAUAAAAAAGUCAGAAACACUAUCUUUAACAAUAAUAAAAAAUGCAUACCAGCUUUAUUGGUAUUAAAAUUGAACAAUGGUCAUGGCCACUCCCACUUGUAUAUCAAAAACCAAAACUCAGAAAGGACCAGACCAAUUUGAACAAAAUUCGGUACACAACGAUAAGUCAGUUUACAAUUACUUCAACUUGCCAAAUAACCUCCUUUUUAACUCCGCCUGAUUAUUUCACUUUGGGACAAGUUUAUAUGACAGAUGCUAUUAAAAGUCAAAGUUUGAUCUUCGAAAAAUUCUGGACCUCUUGUAACAUUUUUCAUAUAAUAUUGACGAAAACGUUUUAUAUACCAUUGAACUAAGAAAAAAAUUUAGAUCAUGUCUAUAUUUUGGAUUUUUUAGUAACUAGGACACAGAAUAAUUAAUAAUAAUUUUUUAAAAAGUCUUUUUUCUGAACUUCGAAUCCAAAUGUUUUUAUUUUCGAAGGUAACUUCGAAAAUCGAAGAAUAAAAAUUUUUUACUAAUGACUCAAUCUCCCGGAAAACAUAGUUUGGCCCAAUAUCCAGCCGAGUGUUGGAAAGUGAUAUUGAAUACGAGUAUAUUUUUAUGUUUAUAACGCAGAUAUCUGAAUAGAAAGUGGCAUUAUAAUUAAGUGAAAAUAUUUCAAUUAGCAUUAUAUCAUUCGGAAGUAAAAAUUAGGCUUACACAAAAAUUUUGGACUUCCCUUAUUGUAUAGAGUAUUAUGUUAUCAUGUACAAAAGUAAUUUAUAGUUAUCAAGGAAAUCUUAAAAGUAUUUGAGAUUGGUAAGUGUUUGUCUUGUUGUUACUCGAGUACUGAAAUAACAAAUUUGAGUGGUCCUAUAUCGCAACUAGACCAUACAACCCCUUUAACAAAUAUGAAUAAAAACACAAAAAGCUUUCACCCAAAUCUAACUCUUGUGGGUAUAUAGUUCAGCUUUAUACUAUAUAAGAACGAUCGCACUGUAAAGCAAAAUAAAUAAGUAACGAGUUGCUAUGUUUGGAUACACUCGAACGCUUGAAAAUAGAGAUGUCACAAAAGUUUAGUAUACAAAUUUUAGUUUCCGUAUUUUAUUUUUGUAAACCAUACAGACAGUAUUAAACAAUACCAAACACUGAGUUGAGUAGAUAAACGUAUACUAUAAAAUCAGAAAAUAUAGAAAACAGUUUUUCGAAUUCAGGCGAUCUUUAUCUUUAUUUCGAUAUCUUCGCUGAGUUUCAAAAUAUCUAUUGCAAUUUCAAAUAAGUAGAGAGGGUGUGUUUUUAGCCCAAUUCCACCAAUUUUCGGAUUUCUUGAGAUUACAUAAAAUAUAUAUCAGAAUACCAAGCGAUUCGAUCAACCAUAUCGCUUUCAGUUCGGCACCACUGUCACCUCUUUUUUACAAAGAAGAGAUAUACAGUACCAUGCAAUUUUAUUGUAAGACAGAUGAAAAAUGCACGAACGUUAAGCAAAAAAAAACGCUUUAUUUACGCCAGAAUAACUGACACAAAAUAGAAACAAUAGAACAAUAAGAGCGCGGUUUGUCGAAUACUAUCGUUAUGAUUAUUUUUAGAAAUUCAAUCACCACUGCAGUGCUUUGCGCUCCUCACACCCCCUCCAAUACCGCACCAUUUUGCUAUGCCAUGGCAAAAACGGCGCAGACCCACAAUCGCAGCUGUCGAAGCGAUUAAAACGCACUGAACGCCCGCGUGAAUGGCGAUCCACAUAAAAUCGCUUUGGCUGACACCUCACCGGACAGGUAAAUGAUGGGCGAGCGUAGCAAAUUAUUCAACGGAAUGAAUAAAUGUGUGUUUGUGGAGCAAACUGAUAACAACACAAACAAGCACCACUGCCAUUGAGUGCAAAAUAGAGCUGAGCACCUAGUGAGGUGUUAAUAGUAUAUAGCGGAUGAGAAUAGUGCGGUGCAGUCACCCUUGGAAUUACUGAACGGUUUUUCUAUUACAUGCAGUUAUGAUAUUAAACUUUAUAGUAUAGCAUUAUUCAUUUUUUACAGCUCAUUCAUAGCUACAAUACGAGUAUAAGUAGAAAUUACAUGGGUGUUAGAAGCUCUCAUGCAUAGUAAGCGGCCCAUGUAAAAAUAGUAGGAGAAUCGCAAAAAAAAUUGGUAGUUCAGUUACGCUGCACGAAUGAAUAGUAAGACUAAACUGUCGAGAGGUUCUUUGUACAAAUGAAAAAAAAAAAUAUUUUUAUUCAAAAAUUACGUAAAAAUAUAUAUAAGAAACUCCAAAAAGAUCUAAAUUUGAAAUAGAUAAUAAUGUCAUGUUCAAGCAAUAGUUAUAAAUGGAAGUUAGUUCCUAAAGAAUGGCGAUUUGAAUCCAUUGGAUUCAACUGUUUUAUUUAUUUACUAAUAAUGCUUCUAUCACGGUUGUUGGUUUGUCGUUAAGUUGCAUAUUGUCAACAUCUCAGAUUGGUAUUUUCGCUGAUAUAAGAGGCUCGGUCACAUUCAUUAAAGUUUUAGUCAUAGAAAAUUCCUAUCUCCUAAUAACAAAAUUUCAAGUAACUGAUUUUUUUUCUAUGUAUUAACAGUUAUCCAAUACAAGUAAUGUCUAACCGGAGUGCGUAUUUCUAUCGUUAACCAACAUGUGAUAAAGCAAUUCAGUUGUUCGGAGGUCGGCUUAAAACCCGCAAUCAAGACGCACAUACUAUCGCUCCAAAACUUAUUUACUCGCCAUACUUGUUGAAGUGUCAUGUGUAUAUAUAUUCUGACCAGCUGCUUACUUCCCCUAUACACUUACGUAAACCUAAUAAAAGAGGGAUCAGCGAGUGGAAGCAUAUGACUUGCGAAACCAAUCCAAAGUUAUUUCCUACAAGUGGCCACCAUACGGAGAUCUUAGCAAUGUUUAUAUGCCACCUCUAUCGUCCGAGCGAGGCUCUCUUUACAUGGAAGGCAUCCAUGAUUGAAUGUAUGGCAUAUAAUCUCAUAUCAUUUCAUUUGAUUAUGCCAGUCUAUCUCAUUUAUGCCAGUAGUGUGUUCGAUUUGCCACUCUUCAAAUUUAGGUAAAGCCUUCACCGGAGAAAAAUUACGAAUCAUUUGAAAGCGAAAAAUAGGUUUGGUACGAAAUGUGGCAUGUGGCAAGUGUAGCACAUACAAUGUUUACGUAUAACCUCAACUUUUUUUUAUUAAUUAUAUAUGUACAUACAUAAAUGUUGUUCUCCACUUAUAUGCAUAUGUACACUUGUGAUGCUGUACAUAGGCAUAUGCAUGUAAAUGCAUCCAUACACACAUAUGUACAAACAUACAUGUACCUAGGAGCUUGGACGCUCACCGUUGCAUUCUUCUAUUAGAGGAAGUGCAAUAGCGAUCACUGAAACGUGAUCACGAGAUUUUGUUGCUGCAACAACGACGACCCGUCGUCGCUGUGGCAUGACUUGCUAUGCAUGACGGCAUUGUGCGCUGUUUGGCCGGCUGACUGCCUAACUUGCUUGCGCAGCGCUGCUGAUCGUUCACCCGCUCGAUUCCAGCAUUCGCCUUUUACUCUUGGCCCUCUUCGUAAUUGGUGUAGACCCAAGCGACGACCGGGCCGGUUUAACUCGUUAUCUCAGUAAUGUGAGUUGCCGGUUCUUGGCUUAAACCGAAUUGUAUGGAAACAAAAAAAAUCUAAAAUAAUAGCUACAACAACAACAACAACAACAAAAAUAAGUCCAGCUCAUGCGUUUAAUGUGCUAUACAGUAGGGUGCUCGGAGAUAUAGUACAAAAAGAAAAGUACACAAACACAUACACGUAGAUAUGGAAGUAUAUAGUACACACUUAAAUGGUCAUAUGUGUACGGCGAAGGUGUCAAAGCUGAUGAUGAUGAUGACGACGACAGAAAGGCCAGUGUUUUAAGCUGAGAAAAAUUGAUCGAUAUGCAUUUAGACUCAAAUGAAUGAAAUGUAUUUACUAGAUUUAAAAAACAACAACGAUUCUAUGUUAAAAUUCGUGUGUGGUCUGCUUUAAUUGCUUGCUAUUACAUAUGGCUUUCAAUUAAGAUGAUUUAACCCAAAUAUCGUAAAACAAUAUCUCAUUACGGUAUAUUAACUAUUUUAAAGGUAACCCACGUGUAAUAUACACUUAUUUCGAGUUGAUGAUAAUAAAUAUAAUAAAAUCGAAAUAAUUUUAAAUUAUUUUCCCUUCGCUUUCAGCGUCUGUCAGCAUUUAACACUGUGAUCCAUGUGAAUAUAUGUAAGUGUGGUUGCAUUCUUAAAUGUUUACGACGAUCGGCGCUUUUGUCGACGUCAGCUUUUCUAAAGUUUUUUUAUUGUUUCAGUGGCUUCAAUUUCCACAACAUUUGCGCUAUCAACAAAUCAGAUUACUUUGUGUGUUUUACUAAGAUUUUGCGAAUUUUCCGCAAAUUCAUAAACAUUAUGCAAGUACAAGUGCGUAUAAUUAGAAUGUUUAUAUAAAAGCCUUUGAUUGUGCCUCACUGACACUACAGCACAUUACACCGCACUGCGCCGUUCUGCAUAUAUGUUAAUAAAUACGUGUGUGUCUGUGCAAUAACAAUAAUUUCUUGUGAUUUUACAGCUCAUCUGCAGCGUCCCUGCAGUUGCUAUGUACCGCGAAAAUCCGCGAUAUGUUGGCCCAGAAGUGGCAAAUUGGAUUUACAUUUGAAUCUGGUAACCGUUUUCAACGCCUUUACGCGCUAGCAAUAGUGUUGGCAACGAAAUUAUGUGGAGGAUACGCCACUCACUGCGCAGGAAGGAAAUGUUGCAAAUCAACACGCCACGAAAUUAGCGAAAAAUUCGACCGAAAACGCGUUUGAUGUACGAGUUGUGCACCAUUCCACGGCCUCUACUGAGCAUUUUUACACCAACAAAGCGUUCAAGUUACACAUUUCAUUUUGAGGGCCUCUGAGCGCGCACAUCAGGAAUCAGCAAGCGCUUUCACACCUUGCUCCAGACAACGCGCUAAACCCCCCACCGUUCUUAAGACACACACACGUCAACAGCCAGUAAAAAUACAAUUUAAUUCGCAAUAUAUUCGCCGCUCGAUACAAAACGUAUUCAAUUGUUUCGAAUAUAAAUUCAUAUAGUACGUAUUCCAUGCGUAAAUUAUGUGUGUUAAAAAAAUAAUCAAAAUGUUAUAGAAUUAUAAACACCAUAACCGCACAUGGAUAUAACAGCGGCAUAGCCAUAAAAACACGAAUAACCAUACGCACGUCCAAUAUUAUAUAGAUAUUACUGCCUCCAGCACUACUAACC